GACGAACGCUGGCGGCGUGCUUAACACAUGCAAGUCGAACGGAAAGGCCCUGCUUUUGUGGGGUGCUCGAGUGGCGAACGGGUGAGUAACACGUGAGUAACCUGCCCUUGACUUUGGGAUAACUUCAGGAAACUGGGGCUAAUACCGGAUAGGAGCUCCUGCUGCAUGGUGGGGGUUGGAAAGUUUCGGCGGUUGGGGAUGGACUCGCGGCUUAUCAGCUUGUUGGUGGGGUAGUGGCUUACCAAGGCUUUGACGGGUAGCCGGCCUGAGAGGGUGACCGGCCGCAUUGGGACUGAGAUACGGCCCAGACUCCUACGGGAGGCAGCAGUGGGGAAUAUUGCACAAUGGGCGGAAGCCUGAUGCGGCAACGCCGCGUGCGGGAUGACGGCCUUCGGGUUGUAAACCGCUUUCGCCUGUGACGAAGCGUGAGUGACGGUAAUGGGUAAAGAAGCACCGGCUAACUACGUG
This 468-nucleotide ribosomal RNA is filed under the name uncultured bacterium. RNAcentral's name for it is "partial 16S ribosomal RNA". It matches the Rfam family "Bacterial small subunit ribosomal RNA", at positions 28 to 507 of the family's 1533-position model. The record is from RNAcentral.